RNAcentral lists this ribosomal RNA (240 nucleotides) under uncultured bacterium. RNAcentral's name for it is "partial 16S ribosomal RNA". It matches the Rfam family "Bacterial small subunit ribosomal RNA", at positions 796 to 1041 of the family's 1533-position model. The record is from RNAcentral.
CACGCUGUAAACGAUCAAUACUAGGUGUGCGGGGACUGACCCCCUGCGUGCCGCAGUUAACACAAUAAGUAUUGCACCUGGGGAGUACGAUCGCAAGGUUGAAACUCAAAGGAAUUGACGGGGGCCCGCACAAGCAGUGGAGCAUGUGGUUUAAUUCGACGCUACGCGAAGAACCUUACCAGGACUUGACAUGGAAUUUAAAACUCUAGAGAUAGAGCCAUAACAAGUUCACACAGGUGG